RNAcentral lists this ribosomal RNA (270 nucleotides) under uncultured bacterium. RNAcentral's name for it is "partial 16S ribosomal RNA". It matches the Rfam family "Bacterial small subunit ribosomal RNA", at positions 338 to 600 of the family's 1533-position model. The record is from RNAcentral.
CCUACGGGAGGCAGCAGUGGGGAAUAUUGGACAAUGGGGGAAACCCUGAUCCAGCCAUGCCGCGUGUGUGAAGAAGGCCUUUUGGUUGUAAAGCACUUUANNCANUGAAGAAGACCUAACGGUUAAUACCCGUUAGCGAUGACAUUANCUGCNNAAUAAGCACCGGCUAACUCUGUGCCAGCAGCCGCGGUAAUACAGAGGGUGCAAGCGUUAAUCGGAAUUACUGGGCGUAAAGCGAGCGUAGGUGGCUUGAUAAGUCAGAUGUGAAAU